CUAAAUCUGAAUGAUCUAUAACAACUUGAUUAUUUAUUGAUAUUUCCAUGCCUUAUGUAUAUAUCUUCAAAUAUCCAUUAUGCCCCAGGAUUCCAUUUUGCCUGACUUUGGCUGACACGUUGACACGUACUUAGCCUAGUCAUGCAUGAAGGCCAAAUCAAUGGAAUUAUUCAGUUACAUAAACGACAAAAACUAGCAAUAACUGAUAAACACCAACCGAACAUGGAAACUACGUACUUAUUUGUUUAUAAUGCAUACAUAAAUAUGUAUGUAUUCCAUUUGGCCAUUGAUAGGAUUUUUCUAAAUCAAUGCAUUUAUCAUCGCUUGAAUAAAUUAAUCAUGUAAAACAAUAUAGCCAAGUGGUGAAACAACUUGCGAUGGAGUGGAAAACAAGCAAUGAAAUCCGAUUGUAUGUCCAUAAUGGCAAUUUAACAAGUGCAAUGGCUACAUGAAUAAAAAACAUUAGUUCAUCUCAUCUCAA
This is a long non-coding RNA of Folsomia candida, 481 nucleotides long. RefSeq lists it as uncharacterized. NCBI's taxonomy places the organism in Eukaryota, Metazoa, Arthropoda, Collembola, Entomobryomorpha, Isotomidae. The record is from RefSeq and is a predicted model, not a curated record. The transcript has 2 exons.